UUUAAUGGCUAAGUUUUAUUGCAAAACUUUUGGACAUUGUAAAAUAGACUUUUUUUUACAAAGAAGAUUGUUUUGUUUUAUCAAGAACUUCAUACAUGUACAUGUAUAUUGUAUAAUACUAUAAUAAUAAUUGCUAUAGAAUAAUGGUCUUCCAGUACUCUUAAUUUCAUCAACAGAUGAGAAGAGGUAGGAGGGGUUCUGAUCCUGAAAUCCCUGGCUUAAAAACAUGAAAUCCUGAAAUCCCAGGGUUAAAAACGCGAAAUCCUGAAGUCCCGAAAUUCGAAAAAAAGAUUUCCCAAAUCCCAAAAGGGUCAAUCCCGAAAUGCCAAGCUUAUAAACACCCGAUCCAGGAGUCCCGAUAAAGGUCCUAUCCCCCCUCACAGAUUGUAAGCAUGCCGUGACCUUAACUAACUAUAAAUCUUUCUUAGAAAUUUGGGGAAAAAUGUAAUGUAAGAACCCUAAAUCAAUGUUGAAAGAAGAUAAUGUUAACUGAUUCUCAAAAAAAAUAAUUAAAUAUGAUUGAUAACCCUUAAUUGAACAACUUAUGACAAACUUCAAUUUGGAAUUGAGAACAUAGAAAUAACAAGUAAACAUUGCACUGUGACUGUCAUCAAAGGC
This 618-nucleotide long non-coding RNA is filed under the name Mytilus galloprovincialis (Mediterranean mussel). Lineage: Eukaryota; Metazoa; Mollusca; Bivalvia; Mytilida; Mytilidae. The record is from RNAcentral.